UUAACAGAUGAAUGAAAAGAAGACUGAAUCUGUACAUCCACAUCUUCAAGGGCAGCAACCAUUUCUUAUGCUUCUCUUCAGGACCUCGUUCAGGACCCUGUGCAUUCUAGGUACAAAGGAAAGGAGAUGAAAAUGAAGAAACAGAGGCUCAAGAAAUAAAGUCGCCUAUCCAAUGUUGCUCAGUUGACGGCAAAGUUGAGGUUAUUACAGAGUAUUGAGCAGAGUUCCCUGUGCUAUAUGGUAGGUCCUUAUUGGUUAUCUAUUUUAAAUAUAGCAGUGUGUACAUGUCAAUCCCAAACUCCCAAUCUAUCCUUCCCCUCUACCCAUACCCCCAGUAUCUAUAAAUUCAUUCUCUGUGAGUCUGUUUUUGUUUUGUAAAUAAGUUCAUUUGUAUUAUUUUAAAUUAAAUACCACAUAAGAAUGAUUUCAUAUAUUAGUCUUUGUCUGACUUACUUCACUUGGUAUGAUAAUCUCCAGGUUCAUCCAUGUUGCUGAAAAUGGCAUUAU
Molecule: long non-coding RNA, 507 nt
Organism: Bubalus bubalis (water buffalo)
Lineage: Eukaryota; Metazoa; Chordata; Mammalia; Artiodactyla; Bovidae
Exons: 3
Source: RefSeq, a predicted model, not a curated record